GAUGAACGCUAGCUACAGGCUUAACACAUGCAAGUCGAGGGGCAGCAUGAACUUAGCUUGCUAAGUUUGAUGGCGACCGGCGCACGGGUGAGUAACACGUAUCCAACCUGCCGAUGACUCGGGGAUAGCCUUUCGAAAGAAAGAUUAAUACCCGAUGGCAUAGUUCUUCCGCAUGGUAGAACUAUUAAAGAAUUUCGGUCAUCGAUGGGGAUGCGUUCCAUUAGGUUGUUGGCGGGGUAACGGCCCACCAAGCCUUCGAUGGAUAGGGGUUCUGAGAGGAAGGUCCCCCACAUUGGAACUGAGACACGGUCCAAACUCCUACGGGAGGCAGCAGUGAGUAAUAUUGGGCAAUGGACGAGAGUCUGAACCAGCCAAGUAGCGUGAAGGAUGACUGCCCUAUGGGUUGUAAACUUCUUUUAUACGGGAAUAAAGUGAGGCACGUGUGCCUUUUUGUAUGUACCGUAUGAAUAAGGAUCGGCUAACUCCGUG
RNAcentral lists this ribosomal RNA (489 nucleotides) under uncultured bacterium. Its description in RNAcentral is "partial 16S ribosomal RNA". It matches the Rfam family "Bacterial small subunit ribosomal RNA", at positions 28 to 507 of the family's 1533-position model. The record is from RNAcentral.